AUGGCUCAGGAUGAACGCUGGCGGCGUGCUUAACACAUGCAAGUCGAACGAAGCUCUGGAACGGAGGAUUCGUCCAAAGGGAAGAGAUGACUGAGUGGCGGACGGGUGAGUAACGCGUGGGUAACCUGCCGUAUGCAGGGGGACAACAGUUGGAAACGACUGCUAAUACCGCAUAAGCGCACGGUUCUGCAUGGAACAGUGUGAAAAGAUUUAUCGGCAUACGAUGGACCCGCGUCUGAUUAGCUAGUUGGUGAGGUAACGGCCCACCAAGGCGACGAUCAGUAGCCGGCCUGAGAGGGUGAACGGCCACAUUGGGACUGAGACACGGCCCAAACUCCUACGGGAGGCAGCAGUGGGGAAUAUUGCACAAUGGGGGAAACCCUGAUGCAAGCGACGCCGCGUGAGUGAAGAAGUAUUUCGGUAUGUAAAGCUCUAUCAGCAGGGAAGAAAAUGACGGUACCUGACUAAGAAGCCCCGGCUAACUACGUGCCAGCAGCUGC
RNAcentral lists this ribosomal RNA (500 nucleotides) under uncultured bacterium. RNAcentral describes it as "bacterial SSU rRNA". It matches the Rfam family "Bacterial small subunit ribosomal RNA", at positions 19 to 518 of the family's 1533-position model. The record is from RNAcentral.